UGGGGAAUAUUGGACAAUGGGGGAAACCCUGAUCCAGCAAUGCCGCGUGAGUGAAGAAGGCCUUAGGGUUGUAAAGCUCUUUCGCCCGCGAAGAUAAUGACGGUAGCGGGAGAAGAAGCCCCGGCUAACUCCGUGCCAGCAGCCGCGGUAAUACGGAGGGGGCUAGCGUUGUUCGGAAUUACUGGGCGUAAAGCGUACGUAGGCGGAUGCGCAAGUUGGGGGUGAAAUCCCGGGGCUUAACCUCGGAAUUGCCCUCAAAACUGCACGUCUUGAGACCGAGAGAGGUAAGGGGAAUUCCUAGUGUAGAGGUGAAAUUCGUAGAUAUUAGGAAGAACACCAGUUGCGAAGGCGGUCUCUUGGUCCGACACUGACGCUGAGGCGCGAAAGCGUGGGGAGCAAACA
RNAcentral lists this ribosomal RNA (402 nucleotides) under uncultured bacterium. RNAcentral describes it as "bacterial SSU rRNA". It matches the Rfam family "Bacterial small subunit ribosomal RNA", at positions 355 to 774 of the family's 1533-position model. The record is from RNAcentral.